GAUGAACGCUGGCGGCGUGCCUAACACAUGCAAGUCGAACGGAAAGGCCCUGCUUUUGCGUGGUUCCAGAGUGGCGAACGGGUGAGUAACAUGUGAGUAACCUGCCCUUGACUUUGUGAUAACUUCAGGCAACCGCGGCUAACACCGACUAGGAGCUCCUGCUGCAUGGUGGGGGUCGGAAAGCUUCGGCGGUUGGGGAUGGACUCGCGGCUUAUCAGCUUGUUGGUGGGGUAGUGGCCUACCAAGGCUUUGACGGGUAGUCGGCCUGAGAGGGUAGCCAGGCACAUUGGGCCUGAGAUACGGCCCAGACUGCUACGGGAGGCAGCAGUGGGGAAUAUUGCACAGUGGGCGGGAGCCUGAUGCAGCAACGCCGCGUGCGGGAUGACGGCCUUCGGGUUGUAAACCGCUUUCGCCUGUGACGAAGCGUGAGUGACGGUAAUGGGUAAAGAAGCACCGGCUAACUACGUG
Molecule: ribosomal RNA, 468 nt
Filed under: uncultured bacterium
Lineage: Bacteria
Description: partial 16S ribosomal RNA
Rfam family: Bacterial small subunit ribosomal RNA
Source: RNAcentral